UACGUAGGCAGCAAGCGUUGUUCGGAGUUACUGGGCGUAAAGGGUGUGUAGGCGGUUCUUUAAGUUUGGUGUGAAAUCUCCCGGCUCAACUGGGAGGGUGCGCCGAAUACUGAGGGACUAGAGUACGGGAGAGGAAAGUGGAAUUCCUGGUGUAGCGGUGAAAUGCGUAGAUAUCAGGAGGAACACCGGUGGUGUAGACGGCUUUCUGGACCGACACUGACGCUGAAGCACGAAAGCGUGGGUAGCAAACAGG
This 253-nucleotide ribosomal RNA is filed under the name uncultured bacterium. RNAcentral's name for it is "partial 16S ribosomal RNA". It matches the Rfam family "Bacterial small subunit ribosomal RNA", at positions 524 to 776 of the family's 1533-position model. The record is from RNAcentral.